Molecule: ribosomal RNA, 497 nt
Filed under: uncultured bacterium
Lineage: Bacteria
Description: partial 16S ribosomal RNA
Rfam family: Bacterial small subunit ribosomal RNA
Source: RNAcentral
GAUGAACGCUGGCGGCGUGCCUAAUACAUGCAAGUCGAGCGAACAGACGAGGAGCUUGCUCCUCUGACGUUAGCGGCGGACGGGUGAGUAACACGUGGAUAACCUACCUAUAAGACUGGGAUAACUUCGGGAAACCGGAGCUAAUACCGGAUAAUAUAUUGAACCGCAUGGUUCAAUAGUGAAAGACGGUUUUGCUGUCACUUAUAGAUGGAUCCGCGCCGCAUUAGCUAGUUGGUAAGGUAACGGCUUACCAAGGCAACGAUGCGUAGCCGACCUGAGAGGGUGAUCGGCCACACUGGAACUGAGACAAGGUCCAGACUCCUACGGGAGGCAGCAGUAGGGAAUCUUCCGCAAUGGGCGAAAGCUUGACGGAGCAACGCCGCGUGAGCGAUGAAGGUCUUCGGAUCGUAAAACUCUGUUAUUAGGGAAGAACAAAUGUGUAAGUAACUAUGCACGUCUUGACGGUACCUAAUCAGAAAGCCACGGCUAACUACGUG